Long non-coding RNA from Homo sapiens (human), 1263 nucleotides. Ensembl annotates it as long intergenic non-protein coding RNA 1193. NCBI's taxonomy places the organism in Eukaryota, Metazoa, Chordata, Mammalia, Primates, Hominidae. The record is from Ensembl.
AGUAACACUCUGGGAGGGCUCAGGCCACAUCACGAAAUGUGACAGGAUAGCCUUGAACUCAUCAAUUGCUGGGUAAGAAAGAAUUUUAAUGCAAUGGCAAACAACCAAUCAAACAAGCAAACAAAAACAAUAAACCCUUCCUUGAGGACCAAGAAGACAUUGAUUAGCUAACCUAAGAGCUCCAGGUGGAGACCUAGGUCCUGAUUGGGUUUCUGAAUUUGACCACUAGGCAGAAAACUAGCACCCAAAACCAGUUGGAAUAAAAUUACCCACCUACAGUGGAGCCAAGGCCCCCAGAUCCUUUUUGUCAGGGGCACCUCAAACUCAACUCCAAAAUUGAUCUAAUGAACUUUCCCAAACCACAUUCCCUUCUUGCAUUUCUGAGAGAAUGGAUUCCCAUUCAUCUGACUACAGUGCUACCCUGAAAGCAGAUCCAGAGACUAAGAUUCACCUGCAGCAAGGUAAGCUGUCAUCAGUUGGAGGUAAGCAGAAGACAGUAGAGAGUACAGAGCCCUGGACUGUGACUCAGAGGAUGAGCACCAGAUCCAGUUUGCUGUGCCACAGUGCCUUCUCCAAAGUCACUCACAGAAGGCAUCCCACUCAACCUCACCUUGGGGUAAAUCAAAAUAGUCCUCCUUCUGAAGCUACCGGGUAAAACGGUGGUAGCUGUGCAGCUGCUGCUGAUCAACAGGCUCCAGAAACAGCAGCAGGAGGUGAGCAGUCCCUGCGUUGGCCACCAAGUGGUAGGUGGCCAGCCCUACCUCCAAGUUGCACUGUUUACUUAUUCAUCUUUCAUGGUAAAGCCUCCAGUUGCCUAUUAUGAAAUCAGCAAUAAUCAUGUGUCCCCUGUCUGGGUCCCUGAAAAGAUGGAAAGAGGCAGAUCAGGCUGGUGCUCUGAGAAUGACAGACAUCAAACAAGAAUGAAAAGUGUCACCCUCCUUGGACUUAUUCAGUAACUCAUGCCCUUGAGCAAAGGAGGAUUUUCUAUCAAAGGACAUGGAUUUCUGUGUCUUUCUCUUGAGAUAACAUUGCUGGGUGACCACAGAAAGCUGGCUCUGGAAGCACAGAAGCUGCCUUUCCUUGAGUAAUAAUGUCUCUUCAAAGGGAGCUGGAGCAUGAGUAGUGUACAUGCCUCAGAUUUCAGUGAAAAGUUCAGAGGAGGCCUGAGAAGAAGGUCCUGGGAAUGAAUCAUCUAGAUGACUCAACCUUGCAAAGCCAUCCACCUCAUUGUGGAUAUCAUUCAAUACAUUUGGUGCUCCAUCA